AACGACGCUAACGCUUCCAGCUAAACCCUAAACCCUAAAUCUUAAAUUUUAAACCCUAUAUCCUAAAUUCUAAACCCAAAUCCAAACCCCUAAACUCAAACCCUAUACCCUAAACUCUAAUCCUAGACCCUAAACCCAAAUUAUAUACCCUAAACCCAAAAACAAGACUAUAAACCUGAACUCUAUACUCUAAACCCAAGUCCUAAACCUUAAACCCAAACCGUAAACCUUAAACCCAAAUUAUAUACCCUAAACCCAAAACCUUAACCAUAAAUCCAAAAAUUUAAAUCCUAAACCCAAACCGUAAAUCCUAACCCAAAACCUAUACCCUAAACCCGAAUCCUAAACCCGAAUCCUAGACCCCAAACCCAAACGGUAAGCCCUAAGCCCAAACCCCAAACUUAGAUGCUAUAGGGUUUGGGUUAAGGUUUAC
Molecule: long non-coding RNA, 433 nt
Filed under: Brassica napus (rape)
Lineage: Eukaryota; Viridiplantae; Streptophyta; Magnoliopsida; Brassicales; Brassicaceae
Description: long non-coding RNA (BNAP_LNC020033)
Source: RNAcentral